ACAGCAGUAGCCACGGUAAUACGUAGGUGGCAAGCGUUGUCCGGAAUUAUUGGGCGUAAAGGGCUCGCAGGCGGUUUCUUAAGUUUGAUGUGAAAGCCCCCGGCUCAACCGGGGAGGGUCAUUGGAAACUGGGAAACUUGAGUGCAGAAGAGGAGAGUGGAAUUCCACGUGUAGCGGUGAAAUGCGUAGAGAUGUGGAGGAACACCAGUGGCGAAGGCGACUCUCUGGUCUGUAAUUGACGCUGAGGAGCGAAAGCGUGGGGAGCGAACAGGAUUAGAUACCCCCGUAGUCCCUGUCUCUUAUAC
RNAcentral lists this ribosomal RNA (305 nucleotides) under uncultured bacterium. RNAcentral's name for it is "partial 16S ribosomal RNA". It matches the Rfam family "Bacterial small subunit ribosomal RNA", at positions 505 to 807 of the family's 1533-position model. The record is from RNAcentral.